UAUGGAAUGAUUAAAUCAAGCUAAUUAACAUAUCUAUCACCUCAUAUUCUUUUUUGUGGUGAGAACAUUUAAGAUCUAGUCUCUUAGCCAUUUUCCAGUACAUAAUACAUUAUUCUUAACUAUAGUCACCAUGCUGUAUCAUAGAUCUCAGAACUGAGAAUAAAUCUUUUUAUCUGUAUACAUCCCUGGGCAGCAAAUGAGAAUAAGAACCCUUAAAAAAUUCAGUGUCAUGGUUGCUGGUGUUCUUUUUCUGUGUAAACUUUUCUUAGCAAGGAAUCUCUUCCUAUUAACUAAAUUCUUAACUAUUUGACAUACUUUUUAAAAAAGUCCUGUCAAAAAUGACAAUGAUUUAUUGUACAUGUUUGUUUUUUCUUCCAGGAAUAUCUUCUUGCCAACAGAACUUAGAGGAAGACACAUAUGCCUAUGCCUCCCCUGCACAAGCAGAUUUUCAUAUCAUUAGGGUCUUACAUUUAUAGAUCAGGAAACAUGUCUGUUCUAUCCCAAUCCAUGAGUUGGAGCAGAUACAAUUACAGUUCUGAGAUCCUUUUAAGAUAAGAGGCCCCUUAGUACCUAUAGCGUACCUAUAUUCUCAAACUAUGAAUGAGAGUUAUAAAGAGUGAAAUGGAAUUGAAUUUGCUAGAAUUUGUUGUGCUCGCAGUCCUGGCUCUUGCCAGUAUAAUUUCUUAAUCAAAGUCCACAAUCUCCUUAACUAGGCUUCUUCCAUUCUUCCAGGACAAACUACAUUCUUUUUGUCCCUCUCUUCCCCAGUACAAUUACCCAGUGAAAAUUCAUGGACUGAAUCUGCAGAUGUUAUUGUCUAAUAUGUUACUGUCUGAUACUCUGUAAGUAUUACUAAUAUCUUUCCAUGGCACAGUCCUAAAUAGUUUUCGUAACUGUGGUUUUGAGCCUAUGCUUUUGUCAUUAUGUGUCAGAGUUUCUUGCACAUUUUCCAGGAAGCUGCAACUGAAUCAUUUUCAGGACUUUUAUAUAACCUAGUCUAUCAUCUGUAGCCCAAGAUUAAACAAAUACUGCAUGCUCUUGUGGUCUAAGUGAUACAAGAUGCCAAAGGGUUAUAACCAAACACUCCCUAAAUAGCUUGCUGCAGCCCAGGAAUGCUUACUGAAAUUAUCCAUAAUAUGUGAUAUAGCCAAAGGAGUUUAAAAAACACCCUCUCUUCCUUUCCUUAGGGCUUGUCCUAAGUUGUCCCUUCGUUGUCGGAGCUUGCUGCACACACAGAGGCCAAGCACCUGUCAUGUGUUAUGAAUUAUAUUACAUAUUCAGCUGUGAUCUGGAAAGCCAUGUGCUUAGACAGUGAAGCCAUUGGAUGGAUGCCUCCUGGUUUACUGAGUUCCCAAAGAGAGGACAGAUGCUCGGGAGUUGCCCAAUUGCCAUAGCACUCGUGUGAGCAAGAAAUUCAACUUUGGUGGCUCAUGCUUAAGUGCUCAAAAAGUUGAGCCCCAAGAUGCCUGGGCAGCGGUUGGCAUGUGAAAUGAGCUAUGUCCCUCGGAAUACCGUCCUUAUCAGUAGCUGUGCUAAAGAAACAUCUGCCCCCACAAAAAGUCAAGGGCAAAGGUCAUCUGGCAUUCCAAGGGAACUCUCCGCAGCAGGGAGACUUCUAAUUGGCUGGUAUUGAUUGCCACCUUACAGUUCACCUGUUUGUGAACUUGUCUCAUUGCCAUUAUCAGACUGUGAGCUACUUUGGACACAGUGCCCGAGCCAUCAUGGUGCCAUUGCAGCGCCUUGCGCAUAACAGGAAUUCACCCUGAAAUGAAUAGUUCAUGUCUCCUCCUGCUUGUGGUAGGAGUUCCUGGAGAGUUUAUAUCUAGAAGAGGAAUUGCUGAAUUCAAGGGUAUGUGCAACUUCAGUUUUACCAGAAUCAACAGCAACAUAAGAGAUACGCUUAAUGAUUUUGCUCCUAUAAAGUGUAACAGGAAAUUCACCUGGCCUCCAGCCAAAGGAUGUCCAUAGGGUCUCCAUGUGAUCCAUGUGAUUCCAGCUGAUUCUCCCUGGAUGACUUGCCCAGCAACGCAGCAGUAGCAGAGAUUUCUCACCAGGCCAGAAGAAUCUACGUGCACCUGGGAG
Molecule: non-coding RNA, 2082 nt
Organism: Chlorocebus sabaeus (green monkey)
Lineage: Eukaryota; Metazoa; Chordata; Mammalia; Primates; Cercopithecidae
Source: RefSeq, a predicted model, not a curated record